GACGAACGCUGGCGGCGUGCUUAACACAUGCAAGUCGAACGGAAAGGCCCUGCUUUUGUUUGUUGCUCGAGUGGCGAACGGGUGAGUAACACGUGAGUAACCUGCCUUUGACUUUGGGACAACUUCAGGAAACUGGUGCUAAUACCGGAUAGGCGCUCCUCCUGCAUGCUGGGGGUUGGAAAGUUUCGGCGCUUCGUGAUGGGCUCGCGGCUUCUCAGUUUGUUGUUGGGGUAGUGGCUUACCAACGCUUUGACGGGUAGUCGGCCGGCGAGGGGGAGCGGAAACAUUAGGACUGAGAUGCGGCACAGACCAGUAUGGGAGGGAACGGAGGGGAGUAGUGCACAAUGGGAGGAAGCAAGAUGCGGCAAAGCGGCGUGGGGGAGAAGGGGCAGGGGGUUGGAAAGCGAUUUCGCCUGGGAGGAAGAGAGAGUGACGGUAAUGGAUAAAGAAGCAACGGCUAACUACGUG
Molecule: ribosomal RNA, 468 nt
Filed under: uncultured bacterium
Lineage: Bacteria
Description: partial 16S ribosomal RNA
Rfam family: Bacterial small subunit ribosomal RNA
Source: RNAcentral